Molecule: long non-coding RNA, 1996 nt
Filed under: Panax ginseng (ginseng)
Lineage: Eukaryota; Viridiplantae; Streptophyta; Magnoliopsida; Apiales; Araliaceae
Description: long non-coding RNA (PGIN_LNC002659)
Source: RNAcentral
CAAGGCAUUCUCGAAAUUUUCCUUGGCAAGAUUGGCAAUGAUAUCACGACUAAUAGUAUGCCGUGUUUGCCCCACUUCCAUAGGAUAUCCAGUUACCUGCUGCUGGAAAUCUGUAUGAGAACUCCUAUAGAUAUAGGACAUCCUCCCUAUCUUCUGCACCUUGGUCUUUAGCUCCUCCUUGAGCUCAAAGACCUCAUGCUUUAAAUCCUGGACUUUGUCCUUAGCCAAAAUCCUCUCGUCAUGUUCCUACUCCCACAUGGACUCGACAUCAGUCUUGUCCUCUAUAACCAUUUGGAGCUCUGCCUUCAGCUCCUUGACCUCCUGGAAAUAAUGGAUAUUUCUAUCCAACACUGACAUAAAUAAAGACAUCAUCGACCCCCCAAGAGCUAUCUCCGCUGCUAUAGCCACCGGGUUAAAGGAGACUGUCUCUACUUCCUCCUCUAUCAUCCCAUCGAACACUGACAUGUAGUCAACAUUAUCUAAGUCUCUAGACUCAAUAACCACAACUUCAGACUCUGCCGCUAUAGGGUUCGGUAUAACCUCUACUUGGUUCACCGAUUCUUCACUAAUGGCCUGGCCAUCUACAAACAUUCUGUUUACUCCUCACAUCUACACUAAACAAUUAAGUUGAUUAGUACACAUCAAUAGAAUAAUAAAAACACAUAACAUAAUCAUAAUGCCUUUUUUUAUAAGGUUACUUUCUUCUUUUUACUUCUUUGACCUCUCUUAAGGUUAUGACUUAAGGUUUUUAAUCCCCACUUAAGUUUUAUAACCUAAUGCUUUGAUACCAAUCUGUGACACCCCAAAAAUCCAGGUAUCUUCCAACCUGACAGAUGGUGCAACACGGUACUACCAUUCAUUCAUUCAUUCAUUCCAUGAAAUAGUCUCAAAAGGACUAAUAUAACUUCUAUAUAUUCAAAAUAAUAUUACAUUUCCCAGGUUCUGUGUAACCCAUUCGUUUGUUCUUGUCAUAAUAUUCAAUAUAUUACAAUCAUUGAACUAUUCUAUUACAUACUAAGCUAAGGGUUCGUCUUCGCCUUGCCCUUAUCUUUGCCCGAGCCUUCAGUUCGCUCGAUCUUGGCUGUGUUCAUAUGGUUCAAGCAAGAGUGAGGAUGACUAGCUCAGCAUGUACUACAAUUCUAUUAAACAACAUGCUUGAAACAUAGAACUUAUAUAUCUUCAGUAACUGAACAAUAGUUACGAAGUACUAUCGAUAAAUCAAAAUAGCACUUCUUUCCCUUCAAAACAUUUUACAACAACCAUACUCAGCGGAAUAUCAAUUAUGGCUCAAGACUACGAGCAUUCAUAAAUUCUUUUGAAAAGGACAACCCAACACUAAGUCCGUAAGUCCGGCAUAUCUUACGAGCACGUCUGAGUGAUCAUCUCGUAGUACUCUAUGUUGAUCAACACUACAUUCAUUAAACGUGUAUACAUUUAAGUUGUGGCAACCUCACGUGCCUAUCAUUAAAUGGCAAAAACAUUUUAGCAUACUUGGUCUUCGAUUGAAAACCAUACCAAUAUAACUCGGUAAAUAUAAAUCAUGCUUGACAGAAUCAUAAUAUAAGUCUAGCCAAAAGAAUUGGCUUAAGACUUCAUCGUUCAAAACAUCAUGUGAAAGAAUACAUGAAUUACAAAACUUGUCCAGACUGAACUAGAAUAAGGGUUAGAAUACUUGCCUUCAGCGUCUACUUACUGAUUAACACCCGUACACUUUAGGUCUCUAAGUUUCUACAACAUAUGAUCAUAUAACGUACCACAUUAGGUCAUAUAUAAUCAAGUAUGUAUACUAUUAUAUCUUACCCUUCAUCUCAAUGUAAAUCCUGACUUAGAUCUACUAUUAUGGGUUUCCGGCUUUUAUUACGUCAUUUAUGUUUCAUUCAUCUUUGAUUGAUUAUUAACUCUUAAUCAACAUACAUUUCAUGUCUAACAAUGCCUUAACAAUGUUAUAUUAACACCUUAGUUCAUUACCAACGAGUUCUCUUUCAUUCUAUAAUUG